This 73-nucleotide transfer RNA is filed under the name Chloroflexota bacterium. RNAcentral describes it as "tRNA-Arg". It matches the Rfam family "tRNA". From Rfam's summary of the family: Transfer RNA (tRNA) molecules are approximately 80 nucleotides in length. Their secondary structure includes four short double-helical elements and three loops (D, anti-codon, and T loops). Further hydrogen bonds mediate the characteristic L-shaped molecular structure. tRNAs have two regions of fundamental functional importance: the anti-codon, which is responsible for specific mRNA codon recognition, and the 3' end, to which the tRNAs corresponding amino acid is attached (by aminoacyl-tRNA synthetases). tRNAs cope with the degeneracy of the genetic code in two manners: having more than one tRNA (with a specific anti-codon) for a particular amino acid; and 'wobble' base-pairing, i.e. permitting non-standard base-pairing at the 3rd anti-codon position. The record is from RNAcentral. Lineage: Bacteria; Bacillati; Chloroflexota.
GCUCUCGUAGUUCAGUGGACAGAACGCGGGUUUCCUAAACCUGAUGUCGGGGGUUCGAAUCCCUCCGAGAGCA